RNAcentral lists this non-coding RNA (27 nucleotides) under Homo sapiens (human). The record is from RNAcentral. Lineage: Eukaryota; Metazoa; Chordata; Mammalia; Primates; Hominidae.
UGGUGCUGAUAGACGAGGAGGAGCGGC